CGGCGGACGGGUGAGUAACGCGUGGGUAACCUGCCCUGUACACACGGAUAACAUACCGAAAGGUAUGCUAAUACGGGAUAACAUAAGAAAUUCGCAUGUUUUCUUAUCAAAGCUCCGGCGGUACAGGAUGGACCCGCGUCUGAUUAGCUAGUUGGUGAGGUAACGGCUCACCAAGGCGACGAUCAGUAGCCGACCUGAGAGGGUGAUCGGCCACAUUGGAACUGAGACACGGUCCAA
Molecule: ribosomal RNA, 237 nt
Filed under: uncultured bacterium
Lineage: Bacteria
Description: partial 16S ribosomal RNA
Rfam family: Bacterial small subunit ribosomal RNA
Source: RNAcentral